This 1688-nucleotide ribosomal RNA is filed under the name Leucascandra caveolata. RNAcentral's name for it is "eukaryotic LSU rRNA". It matches the Rfam family "Eukaryotic large subunit ribosomal RNA", at positions 428 to 1873 of the family's 3401-position model. The record is from RNAcentral. Lineage: Eukaryota; Metazoa; Porifera; Calcarea; Leucosolenida; Jenkinidae.
GCUAGCAAUGUACGCCUGUGGUUCAGCCGGCUAGUCUUGUGGGUUGUCGUGUUGCGGAUCCGAAUGGACCGCGUGCGGCAACGCCGCAGGCCAAGCUGUGGUGCACUCCAUGGGCGUGCGCGUCAGCGUCGGUUCCCGACGAGCGAUGAGGUGCUGGGGGAAGGUAGCUCGCUUCUUCGGAUGCGAGUGUUAAGACCCUUGUGCUGGGCUCGUCGUGGGACCGAGGAGAGAGAUGAUCGCUGCGGCACCUGCCUCUCGGGGCUAGCCAGCUGUUGUCAGACGUGUGUCAGGCGUCGAGGACUGCACGCAGUGCUCGGUGUUGAGGCGUGGUCUGGUGGUGGUGUGGGCAUAGAGGUGCCUAGGACGCUGGCGUCCAAAUGGCCGUGCGCGACCCGUCUUGAAACACGGACCAAGGAGUCUAACAUGUGCGCGAGUCUUAGGGUGUGCAAGCCCUUGGGCGCAAUGAAAGUGAAGGUUCGGCGCUGGUCGAGCUUAGGUGAGAGCCGUUGCUGGAAUGAUUGCCACGGCGGCGCAUCAUCGGCCGGUCCAUCCUGCUCUCAGGAGGAUCCGAGCAAGAGCGUAUCUGUUGGGACCCGAAAGAUGGUGAACUAUGCCUGAAUAGGGUGAAGCCAGAGGAAACUCUGGUGGAGGCUCGUAGGGAUUCUAACGUGCAAAUUGAUCUCAAAAUUUGGGUAUAGGGGCGAAAGACUAAUCGAACCAUCUAGUAGCUGGUUCCCUCCGAAGUUUCCCUCAGGAUAGCUGGAACUCGUUAACACAGUUUUAUCAGGUAAAGCGAAUGAUUAGAGGUCUUGGGGGUGAAACACCCUCAACCUAUUCUCAAACUUUAAAUCGGUAAGAAGCGCGACUUGCUUAACUGAAGCCGCGCAGCCAAUGUGAGUUCCAAGUGGGCCAUUUUUGGUAAGCAGAACUGGCGAUGCGGGAUGAACCGAACGCUCGGUUAAGGUGCCAAAGUCGACGCUCAUCAGACCCCAGAAAAGGUGUUGGUUGAUAUAGACAGCAGGACGGUGGCCAUGGAAGUCGGAAUCCGCUAAGGAGUGUGUAACAACUCACCUGCCGAAUCAACUAGCCCUGAAAAUGGAUGGCGCUCAAGCGUCGCACCUAUACCGGGCCGUCGUCGUAAAUGCCAGGCGACGACGAGUAGGAGGGCGCGGUGGUCGUGAUGCAGCCCUUGGCGUGAGCCUGGGUCAAACGGCCUCUGGUGCAGAUCUUGGUGGUAGUAGCAAAUAUUCAAAUGAGAGCUUUGAAGACCGAAGUGGAGAAAGGUUCCAUGUGAACAGCAGUUGGACAUGGGUUAGUCGAUCCUAAGAGAUAGGGAAGUUCCGUAUCAAUGUGCGCAAUCGGUCUCGUGCCGCCUUGCGCCAACCUAUCGAAAGGGAAUCGGGUUAAUAUUCCCGAACCGGAAUGCGGAUAUUCUCUGGCUCUCGGGUCAGGAGCGGCAACGCUAGCGAACCGCGAGACGUCGGCGGGGGCUCCGGGAAGAGUUGUCUUUUCUUUUUAACGCAGUCGCCAUCCCUGGAAUCGGUUUGCCCGGAGAUAGGGUUGGCUGGCUCGGUAAAGCAGCACACUUCAUGUGCUGUCCGGUGCGCUCUCGACGGCCCUUGAAAAUCGCGGGUGUGUACUGAUUUUCGCAUCCGGUCGUACUCAUAACCGCAUCAGGUCUCCGAGGU